AGCGUUGCGGAGUUUACCACAAGAGUGUGGGCUUACUAUAGGUGGGUGUGGGAGAGCGAGGGACUCAGCAUCAGCAACAGGCGAGAGAGACUGGCUAUAAAUUAUUAAGUCGAUCGUGGCAAUAGCACAAGUCAUAGCAGGAGCGACAGUCCUACUCUAAACAGGAAGGAGCUCUGCACGCGUAAAGAAAUUAUGUCAAGAACAAUACUGCUCUUCCUGUCAUGCGUAGUGCUGUGCUGUGUUUUCACAUCCGUUACGGCGAGAUAUUUGGACUGCACAAAGGAAUGUUACUAUAACCGUUACUCUACGUUAUGUGACUGCCCCUCUCCAAAGUUGCCUUUACGCUGGGGAAAGAGAGGGGUACGCGUUCCAUUCAGAUGGGGGAAAAGAUCUUUUGAUAACUACCAACCAGGAUCAUAUGGCGACAGCUGGUACGAUUCGGCACCAAUGGACCUCUCGGCGUAUUUUGAAGACAUCGCAUGAGGUCAUUGAAGGCCGUCGAUGCUCGUGUGCGGACAGCGAGGCGAGAGUGACAUAAAUAUUUAUUUUGUAAUAAACCUCCUAAACCAAGGACUACAACAUGACCUUAUGUCAAUACCGGGCAAGGUUUUAGUGGAGAGAAGUGGCGUGGAAAUGGCGUGCGUUCCUGUUUCUUGGACUAGACAAAACAAUAUCAGACUUUUAGCAACAUUUUACAAAAGCCAUUGAAACCAAUUCCAUACACAAGGGAUUUGUGAACGGAUCUUGCAAACUUCUUCGGCUGACUGCUGAACCAACACGAUGAACCUUUCUGUAAUCCAACAUGUGUGCAUUCCUCUACUCUGUCUUCAACCUCAUAUUAUUUUUCAUGUGAAAUGUUUAACCAAAAUGCGGCAUUAAAACCUUAUUUGUGUCUUCUAAACUUGAAUCACAAGAAGUAAUUUAUCCGUUGAAGUGAAUGACGCAUAGAAGGGCGGUGUAAAUAUUGUAUUUCGUUUCUGUACUGGCAAGCGACUAUCCACCAAAUUAUAAACAUAAACAGAAUACCUGAAGCAUUCACAGUUUGAUCUGAAAACAAAAAAAAUGAAGUUUUGUGCGAUAAAAUACCCAAAAGCUUAAAAUGUUAGAACAAAGUCCAUUUGAAAAUUGUAUGCAUACAGCGUCAAAUCUUAAAAUUAUAUCUACUGUCUACAUUUAUUGUGGUUUAAUCCCUGUUAUAUUCAAUACAAAGGAUUAUGAAUCGUGUCAUAUUAUAUUAAGCGAUUAAUAAUUAAUCUGUCACGAUAUCUGAUUAAUGGUGCUGAGUUUAUGAGUUUUUUUAAGACGUUUAUGAUAGAAUUAAUGUAUACAUUUUGUUAGUAUUGCAUGAUAAAGUCGUAUUACGGAACGGCGAAAACACAAAGACAGAAUACUGAUCACAUUCAGCUGUGUCGUCCAAUCUUAGACGUUCUCACUAAUCGUGAUGUACUCGUUUUCAAUAAUAGUUUUUCUCUGGCACGAUUCCAAUUAGGAUCGUGGUAGGCAUAAUUAUUCCGAAGGAUAUAAGCUCAUAUAUUCACCAUGGACACACGGGUAGUCAUAAGAUAUUAACUGUACCUGAUUCAAAUAAAACACGUGCUUGAUGAUAUUGACUCAUGGAAGUAUGCUACCUGUCAAUAUUCAUGUCAACUAAUUCAUAACGUGGAGGAUGCUGUAUUUGAAAAAUUAUAUGGUUGCUUCGGAGGA
This 1704-nucleotide long non-coding RNA is filed under the name Haliotis rufescens (red abalone). RNAcentral describes it as "uncharacterized LOC124114176". The record is from RNAcentral. Lineage: Eukaryota; Metazoa; Mollusca; Gastropoda; Lepetellida; Haliotidae.